UGUAGGCCCCAGCACCUGUCGUCGUCAUCCCAACUUAGCCCCAUGUCGUGUGCCAAAUCCUGUAGCUGACCAUGAAGCGCUUCUCGGGGUCCUUAUCAUUUGAAUCGGUGGUUGUUGCUGCUAGUUGACUGCGGCAUGAUGAAGGCCAAGGUGGGCUCCCGCGCCGGCAACUCCAGGUUCAUGUAUUUACUAAAGACGGCAUGAGGAGGCCGAGCUUUUGCACCACAGUCAACGCGACGUCCCGGCCGGCGGGAGCUAGAGGCAUGCACAUCCUCUUCCGCCUUAUAUGCCAUCCAGCAGCCCUCUGUCACCGCGUCCGUCCCUCCUUCCUCCCCUGCUUGCUGUCCUAAGCAGUGGAGGACGCAGCUACCUGAGGGAGCGAAGCCCGGCCUCCUAGCACCCGCAGUCGCACUGCACCCUGCAAAAAGUAAAUAAAUCGCAAGUUCAGAAUAAAAAAACCGAGAAGUUCAAGAACAACCUUUACUGCCUUAUGUUGUUUGCCAACAAUCUUCAGUUUCUUCAGUAGCUCGUGCACAUAUUGCCUAAGCUAGUAUGUUCAGAAUCUUAAAUUGGUAGGUGACCUACAGGGCUAACCAUGUUGAUGGUGAUUGAAGAAGGAUUCCUAUAAUAUUAUUAUUGAGAUUGAAGGCCAACUUUUAUGCACCAUGUGGGAGGAUCCCAGGAAUUGUUCUUAACCAGUCGAUGGAUUUCGAGAGAUGCGUUCAUAUCUCACAAGUUUCCAGGGGUUCAAGCUCAUUUAUAUAAGGAAUGCCAAAGGUUCAACAGCAGCACACUGCUGGUGAAAAAUCUCUGAACAUGCAGUGCAAUCAUGGAAAAAGCUUGCAUCUUUGUCACUUAACCACUGUUAAUCUCUUUUUACAGUUUUUGUUAUGCAUUCUUCACUGAGUACUACCACUAAACAUAUC
Triticum aestivum (bread wheat) is the source of this 926-nucleotide long non-coding RNA. RefSeq lists it as uncharacterized. The transcript has 3 exons. The record is from RefSeq and is a predicted model, not a curated record. Lineage: Eukaryota; Viridiplantae; Streptophyta; Magnoliopsida; Poales; Poaceae.